This 480-nucleotide ribosomal RNA is filed under the name uncultured bacterium. Its description in RNAcentral is "partial 16S ribosomal RNA". It matches the Rfam family "Bacterial small subunit ribosomal RNA", at positions 29 to 523 of the family's 1533-position model. The record is from RNAcentral.
AAUGAACGUUGACGGCGUGGAUUAGGCAUGCAAGUCGUACGAUAACCCCGCAAGGGGGGAAAGCGGCGAAAGGGAGAGUAACGCGUGGGUACCUGCCCCUUGGUCCGGAAUAGCUGCGGGAAACUGCAGGUAAUGCCGGAUAAUAUCCUCGGAUCAAAGGUGUGAUUCCGCCGAGGGAGGGGCCCGCGUUCUAUUAGCUAGUUGGUAGGGUAAUGGCCUACCAAGGCGACGAUGGAUACCGGGUGUGAGAGCAUGACCCGGCUCACUGGGACUGAGACACUGCCCAGACACCUACGGGUGGCUGCAGUCGAGAAUCUUCGGCAAUGGGCGCAAGCCUGACCGAGCGACGCCGCGUGCGGGAUGAAGGCCUUCGGGUUGUAAACCGCUGUCGUAGAGGAGGAAAUGCCAUGGGGUUCUCUCCAUGGUUUGACCUAUUCUAGGAGGAAGGACGGGCUAAGUUCGUGCCAGCAGCCGCCGUAA